GCUGUAGCUCAGUUGGUUGGGCGCGCAGCUGCUGGAUCUGGUGACACGGGUUCGAAUCCCGCGGGCAGCA
RNAcentral lists this transfer RNA (70 nucleotides) under Helianthus annuus (common sunflower). RNAcentral describes it as "tRNA HanXRQr2_Chr06g0278511". Lineage: Eukaryota; Viridiplantae; Streptophyta; Magnoliopsida; Asterales; Asteraceae. The record is from RNAcentral.